Molecule: ribosomal RNA, 484 nt
Filed under: uncultured bacterium
Lineage: Bacteria
Description: partial 16S ribosomal RNA
Rfam family: Bacterial small subunit ribosomal RNA
Source: RNAcentral
AUUGAACGCUGGCGGCAGGCCUAACACGUGCAAGUCGAGCGGAUGAAGGGAGCUUGCUCCUGGAUUCAGCGGCGGACGGGUGAGUAAUGCCUAGGAAUCUGCCUGGUAGUGGGGGAUAACGUCCGGAAACGGGCGCUAAUACCGCAUACGUCCUGAGGGAGAAAGUGGGGGAUCUUCGGACCUCACGCUAUCAGAUGAGCCUAGGUCGGAUUAGCUAGUUGGUGGGGUAAAGGCCUACCAAGGCGACGAUCCGUAACUGGUCUGAGAGGAUGAUCAGUCACACUGGAACUGAGACACGGUCCAGACUCCUACGGGAGGCAGCAGUGGGGAAUAUUGGACAAUGGGCGAAAGCCUGAUCCAGCCAUGCCGCGUGUGUGAAGAAGGUCUUCGGAUUGUAAAGCACUUUAAGUUGGGAGGAAGGGCAGUAAGUUAAUACCUUGCUGUUUUGACGUUAUCAACAGAAUAAGCACCGGCUAACUUCGUG